This 329-nucleotide ribosomal RNA is filed under the name Atractomorpha burri. RNAcentral's name for it is "partial 12S ribosomal RNA". Lineage: Eukaryota; Metazoa; Arthropoda; Insecta; Orthoptera; Pyrgomorphidae. The record is from RNAcentral.
UUAGUUAAUUUCUUGAAACCUAAAGAAUUUGGCGGCAUUUUAAUCUAUUCAGAGGAACCUACUACGUAAUUGAUAAUACACGAUUUGUAAUACUUAGUUUUUGUUUGUAUAUCUCCGUUAUCAGAAAGUCUUUUUAGGGGUUAAUAAUUUUCUUAUUUUUUAAUUGAGAUUUAUUUCAGGUCAAGGUGCAGCUUGUAACUAAGAGUGGGCGGGUUACAUUAAAUUUUAUUUUUAACGGAAGUUUUUAUGAAAAUAUUUAUUUAAGUUGGAUUUGAUAGUAAUUUGUUUUACUUUUUGCAUUUGAUAUUAGCUCUAUAAUGUGUACACAU